This 264-nucleotide non-coding RNA is filed under the name Clostridiales bacterium. RNAcentral describes it as "T-box sequence". It matches the Rfam family "T-box leader". From Rfam's summary of the family: Uncharged tRNA acts as the effector for transcription antitermination of genes in the T-box leader family. Lineage: Bacteria; Bacillati; Bacillota; Clostridia; Eubacteriales. The record is from RNAcentral.
UAAAAUGCUUUGAUAAGAAAGAGUAGGAUACAGGUUGUCUUUACAGAGAGUUCCCGGUUGGUGAGAGGGUCAGGAAACGGUAUUUGAAUACGUCUUUGAGCAGAAGGUCAAAUCCUUAUAUUUAAGGUAGUAGACUGUUUACGGAGCCCUUCACCCGUUAUAGUGAUAGAGUAUCGUUUGAUAAAAACCGUACUUGAAGAGGUUGAUAUGGUGACAUAUUGAUAAAUUAAGGUGGUAACACGGGAAUAUACUCCCGUCCUUUAG